RNAcentral lists this long non-coding RNA (5530 nucleotides) under Sus scrofa (pig). RNAcentral describes it as "lncRNA (ENSSSCG00025020834.1, ENSSSCG00065025316.1)". Lineage: Eukaryota; Metazoa; Chordata; Mammalia; Artiodactyla; Suidae. The record is from RNAcentral.
UAGGGAUCCAAUCGGAGCUGUAGCUGCUGGCCUACGCCAGAGCUACAGCAAUGCCAGACCCAAGCCGCAUCUGCAACCUACACCACAGCUCACAGCAAUGCUGGCUCCUUAACCCACUGAGCAAGGCCAAGGAUUGAACCCAUGUCCUCAUGGAUGCUAGUCAGCUUCGUUGACCACUGAACUCCCCUGCCAAUGGACAUUUAAGUUGUUUCCAUGUCUUGGCUAUUGUUAGAAUCAGGUUUUGAUUUUUAGUUUGUUUUGGCUGUGCCCGUGGCAUGUGGAAGUUCCCUGGGCCAGGGAUGGAACCCAAGCCACAGCAAGUACAUCACUGGAUCCUUAACCACCAGAUGACCUGGGAACUCCUAGAACUAGUUUUUUAAUCUAAUAUGCCAUGUAUCACAUUUGCUUUUAUUUGCUGCAUUUAUGCUGUGUACUGCUUUUUUCUUGUCUUGUUAUUUUGAUGCACGAUUGGACUAAAUGCAGGAAGAAAGUGAACAUGUGCGAACCAACAGUCUUUUACUUACACAGUGCAACAUGAGGCAGGGAAAUCUCAGGUCCUUUUGAAGGAAAUGACUGGUUUUUUGGUUUGACGUCUGCAGCGCAGUUUCAGCAUGUCAUUUCCUGCCAACCAAUAUAGCACAGACGGGAGGGAGCUAACUCGUCUCAGACAAAUCACCUGCCUAUAUUUCAGGUGAAUAUCCUUGUAUCCUAUCCUGCAGGGGUUUUGAGACAAUAAUCUUUUUUUAAUUAUAGUUGAUGUACCUUCCUUCCUUCCCUCUUUCCUUCUCCCCUCCCCACACUCUAUCAUUUCUUAGAAAGACAAAACUACUGUCUCCCAUCAUUUUCUCCAAGUGGAAGAAAAAAAAAAAAAAAGCAGGUGGCCAUCAAGAACCCCCAAAGAAUGAUAACCUCAAGAUAAAAAUGCAUUUAUGAUACAAAUGGUAUUCAUAUAAUCGUGGUGGGUGGUUACUUUUAUCCAUCACCAGGCUAGCCCACGGUACCCUGAUAUUUGGUCCAACAGCAGUCUAAAGGUCUCUGUAAAGGUAUUUUUUAGAUGAGAUGAACAUUGAAGUUAAACAGACUGCCCGCCACAGUGUGGGUGGGCCGCACCCAAUCAGUUGAAGGUCACAAGUGCAAAGACUAAGCAUGACCCUGCAGAAGAGAGACUUCUACCUCCAGACAUUGGAGUCAAGCUGCAACACCAAUUUUGACCAGGCUUUGCAGCCUACUGGUCUACCCUGGAGAUUUCUGACUUGACAGCUCUCAUAAUCACAUGGGCUAAUUCCUUAAAAAUCUCUCUGUGUCUGUCUGGCUCUUUGCUUCACUCUCUGUCUCUCUCUCUGCAUCCCUCCCCCCCCCCACACAUUAUUAUACCUUUUCAUUUCAUUAUCUCUAGAGACCCCUAAUACAACAAUCCAUGUAUUAUUCUCCUUUUCCCAUAUUCCUCAAAGCAUUUGGCACCAUGUUUCAGAUUUUCCUGGGCCGUUUCGCAUUAUAAAGGUUUUGUGUGGCCCAUGAAACUCUGGAGUCCAACUCUAGUAGGGAGAAUGCCUCCUAAUGAUCACAUUUGACAAGAGAAGGAUUAGUGUAGGGUUUCAAAAAUGAACUGUGCACACUUCACUGGAGAAACUGUUUAGCCGUGUUCUUGCGCAUUCCUGAAUCUUAAUGACACUGCUAAUUCAAUGAGACAUUAAGGUUUUCUAUUCAUGUUGCCGUGAAGCCAUUGUUUAAGCUGCAUCUGCUCCGUCCACCCGCUUUUAAAGAUGGAAAUGAAGACAAAUGGGCCGUUCUGCAUCAGAGUUCUUAUGCUGGUAGGAGGUGUGGACCUGAUGGAUGUCAGGCAGACCAUCUACCUGCUCACUUCCCGUAGAUGCACAGUGCACAGGAAAAGACACCUUUCUGAGGCCAACUUGGCCCUUGGUGACCUUGUGGAAUAAGGGAGUUGGUUGUGGCACUUUCCUCUGUUUUCCCAUGGUUCUGCAGAUGCCACAGGUGUGAGCCUCUUUCUCAUUCCUAGUUAAAUCACGUGGCAUUUCUGCAAAUCUCUGACCUCGGCCGUGAGGGAGAAUCCAUCCCCAAAGAAAACAGACUUGGGCUGUAAGAGACCCUGGGCAAAGUCUUUCAUCCUAGGCGCUAAAAUGAUGGACGAUGGGAGCAAAGGAGGGUAGGCUGUCCUCGUGUGCCUUUAAGAUCCCGCACAAUUAAAAGGACCCGAGGGAAGAGUUGGGGUUCAGGCCCCAGGACACUCCAUCUGUCUUCUCUAAGAAGACAGGCUCCUUGGCCACCAUCACCCAUGACAUUGGACUAGGCUCCUUGGAUCUUUUCUAGAUACUUGUACAAACCUACCCUCCUCUCUCCUUAAUAUAAAGAACCAUCUCCCUUAUUCCAUGAAAGACAGCCUUGAGUGGGGACGGGGAGACCCACCUGUUGGGAAGAUUGCUGGUGGGCCCCACCCUGAGUUUGACCUCGACCUGUGGCCAGGUCAUCUUCCUGUACAUGACCUGUGCAUCCAGGCUAUGACACGCUAAGCCUUGGGGAGAAAAAUAAAGCCACACCGAAGUACUUCCCUUGGAUCAGCUCAGUUCGGGUGGGCGUGGCCUAAAUCACCUCCCCCAACACACACACACACACAGAGCUUUUCACUUUCUAAGGGAACGUCCAAGGUAGACAGAUUUUCACUGAUUUUUCUUGGCCCUUGUUUCUGAGACACUGCUUGUGCCACAUGCAUGGAGAUGUCACCCAGUGUGACGUAAGGGAAGGUAUUCACGAUUUUACCUCCAGGAAAGAAAAAAACACACAAGACAAUCACACGCGUAUAACAUCUUCACCUGAAGCACUGGGUUAAUGUUAACUCCUUUUGAAAUGAGAUGGAGUACGGGAGAUUGCAUUCCCUAAAAAUAAAUCCGGCAUUUAGUUCCACUUCAUUUCAGUUAGAAUAUAGUUAGUUAUGAGUUGAGAAACUGUGUGACAUAAAUAUGCCUAUUUCUGACCUCAACCUCAGCAGACAAUGCCUAACACCUAAGUGCCCCGAAUCAGCAGUUCUGUCCUUGCGAUCUAGAACGACACACAUCAGAAAGUAGGAAAGAGCGUUGCCACAGGGGUGGGGCCUGGGGGGGACAGGGUACCAGAUUUGCGUUCUAAGCCUGAUGUGCUACAAUCCAAAAAAAAUUUUUUUUUUGUCUUUUUGAGGGUUGCACUUGUGGCAUAUAGAGAUUCCCAGGCUAGGGGUCUAAUCAGAGCUGUAGUUGCUGGCCUACACCACAGCUCACAGCAACAACGGAUCCUUAACCCACGGAGCGAGGCCAGGGAUCGAACCUGCAACCUCAUGGAUCCUAGUCAGAUAAACCAUCACAGAAAAGAAUAUGAACAAGAAUAUAUAUAAGUGUAAGUGAAUCACUUUGCUGUACAGCCGCAGAAAUUCAUACAACAUUGUACAUUCACCAUCCUUCACGAAAAUAAAAAGAAUAAAAGAAAAAACAAAGCAAAUCAGUACAGAAACAGUCUCAACUCCCAAUUCAAUAAAAUGAGACAUAACCCAUCUAAAGGCCCUUUGCCGGGAAAUAUUAACGUUUUCUCCUAAGCAACAUUUGGAUCCAAGAAGGACUCAAAACGCCAGCGUGGAAUAUCCAGAGCUACGAAACACAGGACAUCAGAGCAAACACUGCUCAGAAGAGAACGCAGAGCCUCACAUUUUUACGGCAAAAAACAAGAAGCAAUGAAAAUCACUGACGUCAGUUUCUCUCCCAUUCUGGUAGCAAUUUCAUUGCUCGCGUUUCGGUCCCAGCAGCAAACAAUUCUCCACACCAGCUGGGGGUCCUGCCACCAGACUCACCUUCAACACUCUCCACCUGGAGGGACCUUAAGGGCUCAGCGCCAACCCCGCCUCCCCAAUCACAGGUCCAGGUUGUCACCUGUGCUUCUGUUCCAGGGGCUUUGGGUGGGAGCCUCUCAUUAACGUGCCAACAUGGCUCACAGAGAAACACCAUACCUGCGGGGUUACAGGUUUAUUACAAAAGGAGAUGAUGACGCAGGAGCAGCCAGAUGGAGGAGUGGCACAGGGCACUGCCUGGGCUGUUAAAGACCAGACACCAGGCCCCACAUGGCAUCCUUUACCCCAAGCCCCCUUUCACCAAACUUAGACUCAACUGCAGUCUCGGCGCUUCCAGAAACAGCCUUAAACCAGACCAUCAGGAACUGCCUGCGCUUGAGGAAUGAGCGCCCCCCCCCACCCCUCCCCUACAGGACAGCGGCAUUGCCAUAACAUCUAGGUACCUCCUGCCUGCAAAAGCCCUUCCUUGCGCUCAGCUCCCAGAAGCUCCUUUCCACGCGCUAACCAGGUGCUGCCCCUUUCAGGAAUCAAAAAUAAAGCCAAUAGAGCAUGGACAUGCACUCAGCUGAAUUCUGUUGUUUUUCGCUAACGGGGGUGGGGGGAAACGCACCGGCCCUUCAACGCCGUCUCCAAGCGCACCUCGCUCCCCCGCCCUCCACGCAGUCCCCGGGUGGGUACCCUCCCCUUGCGGGCUUAGGGGAGGCAUCCUCACGUGCGCGCAGGUGAUGCCGACAAAACCACUGGUGAUGAACUCCUAGUCCAUCUCCACAUCCAGCCCCUCCUCCGCCUGCACGCAGUGGAGCGGGGAACCCCCCACCCCACAUCCACGCGGUCGCCCCGGGGGAGCCCUCCCCGGGUGGGCUUAGUGGAGGUGUCAUCACUCAAGCACAGGUGAUGCAGCCAAGGUCACUGGUAAUGACCGCCCCUCCCCCCGCCCUGUCUCCAUCUCCACGCCCCGCCCCUCCUCCUUCCCCUGCACGUGGGUGGGGCGGGGCAACCAAAAUAGUUCCCCUGUUUAAUUCCCCCCUGGGCAGCUCCCUGCCUGGUGGGAGCAGGGUGCUUUGCGCCUCAGAACAGCAAGCCUCCUUAGCCGGCGCCUCCGUAGGCAGGCGGACAGACCAGGUUCGUGUCUCUUGGGAGGGAUCCCCUGCUCUCGGCCCCACCAGGUAUAGUCAAAGAACAAAGACAUCCUGCCGGUGGGCAGGGCUUACCUUGCCCUCCCCCGGGGCUGAGCGCGGGCCUCUCCAGUGCCUCUGUGCUGGCAGCCGCCUUGCAGGGCCCCAGGGAUCCUGCUCGGCGUCCCUCUCGGUCUGAGUGGGGCCACCUCGUGUGACACUGGUGGCUCUGUGGGCCUACUUGCCCUGAGGCCCCAGCCUGCCAUGUCCUAGGACACCCCGCAGUCCCACGGGGGUUGAGGCUCUCUGCGGUGACAAGCUGUCCCUACUGGCCACGCACAGAAACUGGCGGGGCGGCGAGUGGCCAUUGUGACAGUGGCAGGCCAGCUUAGGCCACCUCUUCCUGCAGCUUCAGGGAGGAUGGCCAGGUGUCCAGCGUUCACAGCGUUUCUGCUUUGGCAUCUGCGUCUGGGAGCCAUGGCUCAGGGAGCCUCCGGUGCAGAGACUGAGCCAGUGCGGGUUCUCCAGCUCAGAAGGACCCGGUUCGGCGCUUCAUCGGGACGCAGGUGAGUCCAAUGGGCGUCUG